This 94-nucleotide transfer RNA is filed under the name Sphaerobolus stellatus SS14. Its description in RNAcentral is "tRNA-Asp". It matches the Rfam family "tRNA". Rfam says of the family: Transfer RNA (tRNA) molecules are approximately 80 nucleotides in length. Their secondary structure includes four short double-helical elements and three loops (D, anti-codon, and T loops). Lineage: Eukaryota; Fungi; Basidiomycota; Agaricomycetes; Geastrales; Sphaerobolaceae. The record is from RNAcentral.
AGUUAGGUAGUAUAGUGGUUAGUAUUCGCGCCUGUCAUAGUAGGAGUUUAGCUUUAGAUCGCGCGAGACCGGGGUUCAAUUCCCCGCCUGAGAG